GGGGGCGACUUGGCUUCGACUUAUUUAGCUAAUUAGGAGUUGCGUACCGAGGUUCUCAGGAGGCCUCGUUAAACACCUGGGACAAAAGUAACUGCGGAAACGCAAGUUGCCAACGUUCUCGCUGCCUAAAAGGUUCAGCGAGGUUUAUUUAAUUUCUGCCUGCGGAAUUAAGUAAACUCAAGCAGCAGGAUAGCCCGGCAUCUAUAGCUUUUUAGAUGUCAGGUGAAGCUCUUAAAAGCUAGCUCUUUUAGAUCCUGCCUGUUUGGAGCUAAAAGAGUGAAAUUUAAAGAAACAGGCUAUGUACGUAGACGCUCUUAUUGAUCUAUUUAAGGACCGGGGUUCGAUUCCCCGCGCCUCCACCA
Molecule: transfer-messenger RNA, 362 nt
Filed under: Candidatus Omnitrophota bacterium
Lineage: Bacteria; Pseudomonadati; Candidatus Omnitrophota
Rfam family: transfer-messenger RNA
About the family: Bacterial tmRNA, also known as 10Sa RNA or SsrA, is named for its dual tRNA and mRNA-like properties. Its role is to liberate the mRNA from a stalled ribosome.
Source: RNAcentral